RNAcentral lists this ribosomal RNA (253 nucleotides) under uncultured bacterium. RNAcentral describes it as "partial 16S ribosomal RNA". It matches the Rfam family "Bacterial small subunit ribosomal RNA", at positions 524 to 776 of the family's 1533-position model. The record is from RNAcentral.
UACAGAGGGUGCAAGCGUUAAUCGGAAUUACUGGGCGUAAAGGGCGCGUAGGCGGUUGUUUAAGUUGGAUGUGAAAGCCCUGGGCUUAACCUAGGACGUGCAUGCAAUACUGGACAGCUAGAGUACUGUAGAGGGCAGUGGAAUUUCCGGUGUAGCGGUGAAAUGCGUAGAGAUCGGAAGGAACACCAGUGGCGAAAGCGACUUCCUGGACCAAUACUGACGCUCAUGUGCGAAAGCGUGGGGAGCAAACAGG